RNAcentral lists this ribosomal RNA (204 nucleotides) under uncultured bacterium. RNAcentral describes it as "partial 16S ribosomal RNA". It matches the Rfam family "Bacterial small subunit ribosomal RNA", at positions 328 to 544 of the family's 1533-position model. The record is from RNAcentral.
ACGCUCGACACCUACUGGAGGCAGCAGUGGGGAAUAUUGCACAAUGGGGGAAACCCUGAUGCAGCGACGCCGCGUGAGCGAAGAAGUAUUUCGGUAUGUAAAGCUCUAUCAGCAGGGAAGAAACUGACGGUACCUGACUAAGAAGCACCGGCUAAAUACGUGCCAGCAGCCGCGGUAAUACUGAGGCGGGCGUGGCGAAGGACG